GACAUAGGUCGCAAACGUUAUCCGGAAUUAUUGGGCGUAAAGGAUGCGUAGAUGGUUCAGUAAGUUACUGGUGGGAAAUCGAGGCCCAACCUCGUGGAAGUUAGUAAUACUGUUGAACUUGAGUGCAGGAGAGGUUAACGGAACUUCAUGUGGAGCGGUAAAAUGCGUAGAUAUAUGAAAGAACAUCAAUAUGGCGAAGGCAGUUAACUAUUCUGCUACUGACAGUGAGGCAUGAAAGCGUGGGGAGCAAACAGG
RNAcentral lists this ribosomal RNA (255 nucleotides) under uncultured bacterium. RNAcentral's name for it is "partial 16S ribosomal RNA". It matches the Rfam family "Bacterial small subunit ribosomal RNA", at positions 524 to 776 of the family's 1533-position model. The record is from RNAcentral.